RNAcentral lists this long non-coding RNA (283 nucleotides) under Mytilus galloprovincialis (Mediterranean mussel). The record is from RNAcentral. Lineage: Eukaryota; Metazoa; Mollusca; Bivalvia; Mytilida; Mytilidae.
GGGUAUGUGUCAAAGGGACAACAACCCGACCAUAGAGCAGACAACGGUUGAAGGCCGCCAAUGGGUCUUCAAUGAGGUGAGAAACUCCCGCACCCAUAGGCGUCCUUCAGCUGGCCCCUUAAAAAAUAUGUUUACAGGUACAGUGAUAAUGGACGUCAUACUAAACUCCAAAUUAUACACAAGAAACUGUUAUGAAAAAACUUUUUUUUGCCAUUAAUUAUAGCUCCAGAUCUUUUACAUUAUAUGUCUAUUGGUCAAAGUUUUUUUUAAUUAUAUGUUUUAA